This 457-nucleotide ribosomal RNA is filed under the name Salmonella enterica subsp. enterica serovar Anatum. Its description in RNAcentral is "bacterial SSU rRNA". It matches the Rfam family "Bacterial small subunit ribosomal RNA", at positions 337 to 795 of the family's 1533-position model. Lineage: Bacteria; Pseudomonadati; Pseudomonadota; Gammaproteobacteria; Enterobacterales; Enterobacteriaceae. The record is from RNAcentral.
UCCUACGGGCGGCAGCAGUGAGGAAUAUUGGUCAAUGGGCGCAAGCCUGAACCAGCCAAGUAGCGUGAAGGAUGACUGCCCUAUGGGUUGUAAACUUCUUUUAUAUGGGAAUAAAGUGUGGAAGUUCUUUUUGUAUGUACCAUAUGAAUAAGGAUCGGCUAACUCCGUGCCAGCAGCCGCGGUAAUACGGAGGAUCCGAGCGUUAUCCGGAUUUAUUGGGUUUAAAGGGUGCGUAGGUGGUUAAUUAAGUCAGCUGUGAAAGUUUGUGGCUCAACCGUAAAAUUGCCGUUGAAACUGGCUGUCUUGAGUACAGUAGAGGUGGGCGGAAUUCGUGGUGUAGCGGUGAAAUGCUUAGAUAUCACGCAGAACUCCGAUUGCGAAGGCAGCUUACUAAACUAUAACUGACACUGAAGCACGAAAGCGUGGGGAUCAAACAGGAUUAGAUACCCUAGUAGUC